AGAACUGUCCAAAAGAAAAGUCACAUUUUCAGAGAUAAUGGAAAUAGAAACUAACAAGUGUGAGACUGAGAAGAGUUUUACAUGUGAUCCGGAGGAUUUAAUACCUCUUAACCGCUACACCUGGGUUGAAAACCCUGCUGCCCCUGAUACUGCUUUUCCAUGUUCAUUUUCAGACCCUUUUCCAAAGUGGGCCAAAGCGACAUGGGUGGAAGUACGUCUGACCAAUCGAGUAAUGACUUUUCAGACCCCCACACCCCCUCUCCAUGGUACACGGGAGAGGAGCCUGUGAAAUGGAAAUGAGGGCUCCAUAUCAGGGAUCAAAUCGAGGGUGUUCGUGUGCAUGGAAUGUUUUUCUCCAGGAUCUUGGAGUGCUGCCAAGAACAGAACUGGAACGAGGGUGAGCGAGAAAACAACAAGGCAGACAGUAAAAGCAGGGUUUUUUUCCCCAACAGGAAUGACUGUGUGAAGAGGCAAUAUUUAUGGCUUGUGGCGCCCGCGUCAGCUGAUUAGGUGUACCGACAAGGCGCAUGGUAAUUGCUUUAAAAUUUCCAUACCAAAUUCAGCAAUGAAGAAGGAAAGGAAGAUAUUAUGGCAUCAAAAUUCAGAAGUGGAUGGUGGGAUGCUUUACAGUCUAUACCAGCAAAGAUAAAAUUACAGUUCUAGUGUGGUUUCAGCCAGGACAUGGAUAUACUGUAUGUAAAAAUAUUUUGCAUUUAUUUCUGACAGUGAUUUUCAAUGGUUUUCAUUUAUGUACUCUGAACCUGACCUGGUACCCUUGCCUGCCCAUAUAUGGGCCUUAUCAGGAAGAAUAUUCAAGCAGCU
Polyodon spathula (Mississippi paddlefish) is the source of this 822-nucleotide long non-coding RNA. RefSeq lists it as uncharacterized. The record is from RefSeq and is a predicted model, not a curated record. The transcript has 2 exons. NCBI's taxonomy places the organism in Eukaryota, Metazoa, Chordata, Actinopteri, Acipenseriformes, Polyodontidae.